Molecule: ribosomal RNA, 1384 nt
Filed under: Brevibacterium luteolum
Lineage: Bacteria; Bacillati; Actinomycetota; Actinomycetes; Micrococcales; Brevibacteriaceae
Description: bacterial SSU rRNA
Rfam family: Bacterial small subunit ribosomal RNA
Source: RNAcentral
UGCAGUCGACGCUGAGCAUCCAGCUUGCUGGGUGUGGAUGAGUGGCGAACGGGUGAGUAACACGUGAGUAACCUGCCCCUGACUUCGGGAUAAGCCUGGGAAACUGGGUCUAAUACCGGAUAUGACUACUGGCCGCAUGGUCUGGUGGUGGAAAGGGUUUUACUGGUUGGGGAUGGACUCGCGGCCUAUCAGUUUGUUGGUGGGGUAGUGGCCUACCAAGACGACGACGGGUAGCCGGCCUGAGAGGGCGACCGGCCACACUGGGACUGAGACACGGCCCAGACUCCUACGGGAGGCAGCAGUGGGGAAUAUUGCACAAUGGGGGGAACCCUGAUGCAGCGACGCCGCGUGCGGGAUGACGGCCUUCGGGUUGUAAACCGCUUUCAGUAGGGAAGAAGCGAAAGUGACGGUACCUGCAGAAGAAGUACCGGCUAACUACGUGCCAGCAGCCGCGGUAAUACGUAGGGUACAAGCGUUGUCCGGAAUUAUUGGGCGUAAAGAGCUCGUAGGUGGUUGGUCACGUCUGCUGUGGAAACGCAACGCUUAACGUUGCGCGUGCAGUGGGUACGGGCUGACUAGAGUGCAGUAGGGGAGUCUGGAAUUCCUGGUGUAGCGGUGAAAUGCGCAGAUAUCAGGAGGAACACCGGUGGCGAAGGCGGGACUCUGGGCUGUAACUGACGCUGAGGAGCGAAAGCAUGGGGAGCGAACAGGAUUAGAUACCCUGGUAGUCCAUGCCGUAAACGUUGGGAACUAGGUGUGGGGUCCAUUCCAGGGAUUCCUUGCCUUAGCUAACGCAUUAAGUUCCCCGCCUGGGAGUUCGGCCGCCAAGCCUAAACUCCAAAGAAAUGAACGGGGCCCCCACCAACGGCGGAACCUGCGGGAUAAUUCCGAUCCAAGCGGAGGAACCUAACCAAGCCUUGCAUUCAACCGGAACCGGCAGAAAUUAUUCCCUUCUUGGGCCGGGGUUCCAGGGGGUCCAGGUUUUUCUUAAGUUCGGUUCGGAGAAGGUGGGGUUAAUUCCGCCACGAAGCCCACCCUUCUUUUUAGUUUCCCACCCGGGGAGGUGGGAAAUCCAGGAAGGCCUCCGGGGUUCACUUGGAAGAAAGGGGGGAAGGCGUCCAAUUCUCCAUCCCCUUAAGUUUUUGGCUUCCCGCCUUCUUCCAUUGCCCGUUCCGAAGGGGGCGAUUCCCUGAAGUGGAAGGAAUUCCCGAAAACCCGUUUCCAUUUGGAUUGUUAUUUGCCACUUGGAUUCCGGAAAUUGGAAUUCGUUGUUAUUGCCGGUUCACCACCGUUCCGGGAAUUCCUUUCCCGGCCUUGUUCCCCCCCCCCGUCCAAUCCAGAAAAUUGGUUACCCCCGAAACCGGUGGCCUUAACCUUGUGGGGG